GGAAGAUGUGUCUGUACCCAAAGUGAACUUCUGUUCUGAAGAUGAGCUGGGCUGGCUUGUUUAAGUUUAUGUCUUGAUAUUUCAACUUUCAAAUAAGGAAGCAAACAUAAAAGAACCCUGGUUACUGGGAUGCCUCAGUGAAACAUCUGCUUGCCUGGGAACACUUUUACUAUAAAAGUUUUGAUUUAAAAAGAGAGGGCAAUGCUUCAGGUGUUUAUUCCGAUGCUACUUCACUGCUGCUGACAUGAACUAGUUAUUAAUUUCAUGGCAUUUCUCUGGCAGAAGCUACCUUAAUGAAUCUCUCCUGUGCCUUUGUUUUGUCCAAAUGACUAUCAGGGAGACUUCUGACCAGAAGAUGACUCCCUCAAGUUCCCAGUAAUGUGAUUUAUUAAACUCUGGAGUGCUUUCAUCAAAAGUGAAGAGAUUACAGCCAGUAUCCUCCAAUAGUCUCUGUAUUCCCUGAAAAUUGGUUUUCUCCCUUGCAGUUUUGCACAAAGGCAAGGAGCUGCUGUAUUGUACUGGCUACUUAAAA
Molecule: long non-coding RNA, 532 nt
Organism: Pezoporus occidentalis (night parrot)
Lineage: Eukaryota; Metazoa; Chordata; Aves; Psittaciformes; Psittacidae
Exons: 3
Source: RefSeq, a predicted model, not a curated record